This 568-nucleotide unclassified non-coding RNA is filed under the name Yarrowia lipolytica. Lineage: Eukaryota; Fungi; Ascomycota; Dipodascomycetes; Dipodascales. The record is from RNAcentral.
UGACCCCGGCAAGCCAGACUCACAAGGUAAACACUCUCACAACGGCGGCGGCUGGGACUUUGCUGUCGAGCGUUACCUCUUCGAGUCUAGGAAUUUAGCCGUGGGAGAUCACCGUUGAAGAGAGAGACGAACGCGUUCUCCGGGGGUGACACCAAGCGGGAUAAGCCUUGCCGGCGGGGCGAAAAGCGGCGAUAAUAUGGGAUAGAAGUGGCGAGCUCGGUAAUAUCUGCACAUGGAGCAGACCAAGAGAGUCUAGUCCACGUGACGACGGUAGAAGCAGCUAGGCAAUCUAAGUUUCGGAUUGCUUCGGAAUCGGGAUCGUUGUGGGGGUCGGUCGACCCUAUGGCAUCCAUGGGUGGGGCAAAUGCCAAAAUAAAAACACCAAACCGGAGAUAAAGGAAUCUUCCCUUAAUCAAGACCAACAGCAUCCGACUACCUUCAUUAUUAGCCAGUUUACAGACACCCUCAUUUCGCCCCUCUCACAAAAUAACCUUUUGGAUUGCUCGGCUCUCUUAAAAAUGUAGACGGGAAAAAAUAGCUAAAGUAUAUAUACAACAAGUUUGCCCCA